UACAGAGGUCCCAAGCGUUGUUCGGAUUCACUGGGCGUAAAGGGUGCGUAGGCGGUCGGAUAAGUCUGAUGUGAAAUCUUCGAGCUCAACUCGGAAACUGCAUCGGAAACUAUUCGGCUAGAGGAUUGGAGGGGAGACUGGAAUUCUCGGUGUAGCAGUGAAAUGCGUAGAUAUCGAGAGGAACACCAGUGGCGAAGGCGAGUCUCUGGACAAUUCCUGACGCUGAGGAGCGAAAGCGUGGGGAGCGAACAGG
Molecule: ribosomal RNA, 253 nt
Filed under: uncultured bacterium
Lineage: Bacteria
Description: partial 16S ribosomal RNA
Rfam family: Bacterial small subunit ribosomal RNA
Source: RNAcentral